CUACGGGAGGCAGCAGUGGGGAAUAUUGCACAAUGGGCGCAAGCCUGAUGCAGCCAUGCCGCGUGUAUGAAGAAGGCCUUCGGGUUGUAAAGUACUUUCAGCGGGGAGGAAGGCGAUAAGGUUAAUAACCUUGUCGAUUGACGUUACCCGCAGAAGAAGCACCGG
This 165-nucleotide ribosomal RNA is filed under the name uncultured Gammaproteobacteria bacterium. RNAcentral describes it as "partial 16S ribosomal RNA". It matches the Rfam family "Bacterial small subunit ribosomal RNA", at positions 339 to 496 of the family's 1533-position model. Lineage: Bacteria; Pseudomonadati; Pseudomonadota; Gammaproteobacteria. The record is from RNAcentral.